CGGGUGGUGGUGGGCGGGACAGCGGCGGAAGCGAAUUCCGCGGCAUCGGCGGUGAGGUCCAGGUAGGCCUGUUCCAGCGUGGCCUGCUCGUC
Molecule: transfer RNA, 92 nt
Filed under: Streptomyces sp. ADI92-24
Lineage: Bacteria; Bacillati; Actinomycetota; Actinomycetes; Kitasatosporales; Streptomycetaceae
Description: tRNA-Ser
Source: RNAcentral